AAAUUGAAGAGUUUGAUCAUGGCUCAGAUUGAACGCUGGCGGCAGGCCUAACACAUGCAAGUCGAACGGUAACAGGAAGCAGCUUGCUGCUUUGUUGACGAGUGGCGGACGGGUGAGUAAUGUCUGGGAAACUGCCUGAUGGAGGGGGAUAACUACUGGAAACGGUGG
RNAcentral lists this ribosomal RNA (168 nucleotides) under Salmonella enterica. Its description in RNAcentral is "partial 16S ribosomal RNA". It matches the Rfam family "Bacterial small subunit ribosomal RNA", at positions 1 to 162 of the family's 1533-position model. RNAcentral also lists the same sequence under 1 other name. The record is from RNAcentral. Lineage: Bacteria; Pseudomonadati; Pseudomonadota; Gammaproteobacteria; Enterobacterales; Enterobacteriaceae.